AUUGAACGCUGGCGGAAUGCUUUACACAUGCAAGUCGAACGGUAGAGGGGGCAACCCCUUGAGAGUGGCGAACGGGUGAGUAAUAUAUCGGAACGUGCCCAGUCGUGGGGAUAACGUAGCGAAAGUUACGCUAAUACCGCAUACGAUCUAAGGAUGAAAGCGGGGGAUCGCAAGACCUCGCGCGAUUGGAGCGGCCGAUAUCAGAUUAGGUAGUUGGUGAGGUAAAGGCUCACCAAGACAAUGAUCUGUAGCUGGUCUGAGAGGACGACCAGCCACACUGGGACUGAGACACGGCCCAGACUCCUACGGGAGGCAGCAGUGGGGAAUUUUGGACAAUGGGCGCAAGCCUGAUCCAGCAAUGCCGCGUGCAGGAUGAAGGCCUUCGGUUGUAACUAGCUUUGUUACGGAACGAACGGUGAGCUCUAAUACAGUUGCUAAUGACGGUACCGUAAGAAUAAGAC
RNAcentral lists this ribosomal RNA (461 nucleotides) under uncultured bacterium. Its description in RNAcentral is "bacterial SSU rRNA". It matches the Rfam family "Bacterial small subunit ribosomal RNA", at positions 30 to 492 of the family's 1533-position model. The record is from RNAcentral.